Long non-coding RNA from Juglans microcarpa x Juglans regia, 803 nucleotides. RefSeq lists it as uncharacterized. The transcript is spliced from 2 exons. NCBI's taxonomy places the organism in Eukaryota, Viridiplantae, Streptophyta, Magnoliopsida, Fagales, Juglandaceae. The record is from RefSeq and is a predicted model, not a curated record.
AGAGGGAACCGACCGACCUACUUACCUACCAAAAAAAUUAAAACCAGCAAAAAUAACAAGUUUGUCUAGUUAGCAGGACAGCUUCAUGGAGCCCUCCAAUCCUCGAACGAUGUGUGUCCUGUGGUCGCUGAAAACCGCGCAUAUGAUUAAACAGCGGCAUGUCUGUCAUGGGUCCACAAUCAAUGGUAAAACCAUCUGCAAAUGCUGAAUCUUUGAAUAUUUGGUUAAGAGAAGUCAGAAGAGUAGAUUGUAUUCACAAUCUGCUUAUCCAAAGGAAUGGAUAUCUUCUUUACUUACUAGUCCAAGAUGGUGCUAGAAAUCCCACAGGCCACAACUCUUAGCCAUUAAGUUUACUGCUACCCUCUUUGAAAUUCUAUAAAUACUAACCCUCUGCCUAGUUCCUUGUAUUCCAAUUUCCUAUAGACGAAUUGAAAGAGAAACGCAAAGAUUAGCACAGAUGCCGGGUGGUUGGGGACCGCCGCCGGGAGGACCUCCCGGCCCUCCGGGGGUAUGCGGUUGUUGUGAUUUUCUCUGUGGUGGUAUAUGCCGGCUUGUAUCUUCAUGUUUCUAUCUCCUUUUCUGCUGCUGCAUCUUUGAGAACUGCUGUGGACCAAUGUUUGGUGGGCCACCUGGACCACCUGGACCCCCUGGCCCACCAGGUGGACCUCCUCCCUUCUAAGCAGCCACCAGAUUUGUCGUGUAUUAGUGAACAACAUGUUCAAUGCAGUUAAAUAAAAUUGAUUAUGCAUUUAUAGUUAUUAGCACAUCGAUCGAGGAAGAUAAUCACAUUGAUUUUUUAGACU